RNAcentral lists this ribosomal RNA (614 nucleotides) under uncultured bacterium. Its description in RNAcentral is "bacterial SSU rRNA". The stretch from base 1 to 519 matches the Rfam family "Bacterial small subunit ribosomal RNA", at positions 338 to 873 of the family's 1533-position model. The record is from RNAcentral.
CCUACGGGAGGCAGCAGUGGGGAAUAUUGGACAAUGGGGGGAACCCUGAUCCAGCAAUGCCGCGUGAGUGAUGAGGGCCUUAGGGUUGUAAAGCUCUUUUACCAGGGAUGAUAAUGACAGUACCUGGAGAAUAAGCUCCGGCUAACUCCGUGCCAGCAGCCGCGGUAAUACGGAGGGAGCUAGCGUUGUUCGGAAUUACUGGGCGUAAAGCGCACGUAGGCGGUUACUCAAGUCAGAGGUGAAAGCCCGGGGCUCAACCCCGGAACUGCCUUUGAAACUAGGUAACUAGAAUCCUGGAGAGGUGAGUGGAAUUCCGAGUGUAGAGGUGAAAUUCGUAGAUAUUCGGAAGAACACCAGUGGCGAAGGCGGCUCACUGGACAGGUAUUGACGCUGAGGUGCGAAAGCGUGGGAGCAAACAGGAUUAGAUACCCUGGUAGUCCACGCCGUAAACGAUGAUAACUAGCUGUCCGGGCACAUGGUGUUUGGGUUGGCGCAGCUACGACAUUAAGUUAUUCCGUCCGUCGGGUAGGUACGGUCGGCGAGAAUUAAACUAACUAAUAGUAAGUUAGUACGGCGUGAGACGUACGCCGACGGACGACGACGAGGGAGGUAGG